RNAcentral lists this long non-coding RNA (246 nucleotides) under Brassica rapa (field mustard). Its description in RNAcentral is "long non-coding RNA (BRAP_LNC008387)". The record is from RNAcentral. Lineage: Eukaryota; Viridiplantae; Streptophyta; Magnoliopsida; Brassicales; Brassicaceae.
UAUCUGGAGCUGCAGGUAAAAGUUAGUUCCUAGUUUCUCUCUCUCUAAAUUUCUCUCUUGAGUCAAAGUCUGCUUCCAUUGCAGGAUCAGUGACCAAGAUUGGACAAGCUUCCAUGAAUCAAAACUUAAUGGUGGUUGCCACCAAGUUCUGUUCACUUCUUUUUGACAUAUAUCCAAGAGUUCUUUGCGAAAGCGAGCCUUGAAGAUUGCCGCCUCCAAGUCCCGUUUCGAACUCUUUUAUUUGAG